AGUGAACGCUGGCGGUAGGCCUAACACAUGCAAGUCGAACGGCAGCACAGGAGAGCUUGCUCUCUGGGUGGCGAGUGGCGGACGGGUGAGGAAUACAUCGGAAUCUACUCUGUCGUGGGGGAUAACGUAGGGAAACUUACGCUAAUACCGCAUACGACCUACGGGUGAAAGCAGGGGACCUUCGGGCCUUGCGCGAUUGAAUGAGCCGAUGUCGGAUUAGCUAGUUGGCGGGGUAAAGGCCCACCAAGGCGCCGAUCCGUAGCUGGUCUGAGAGGAUAAUCAGCGACACUGGGACUGAGACAGGGUCCAGAAUCCUACGGGAGGCAGCAGUGGGGAAUAUUGGACAAUGGGCGCAAGCCUGAUCCAGCCAUACCGCGUGGGUGAAGAAGGCCUUCGGGUUGUAAAGCCCUUUUGUUGGGAAAGAAAUCCAGCUGGCUAAUACCCGGUUGGGAUGACGGUACCCAAAGAAUAAGCACCGGCUAACUUCGUGCCAGCCGCCGCAGUAA
Molecule: ribosomal RNA, 506 nt
Filed under: uncultured bacterium
Lineage: Bacteria
Description: partial 16S ribosomal RNA
Rfam family: Bacterial small subunit ribosomal RNA
Source: RNAcentral